CUGCAACUCGCCUGCAUGAAGUCGGAAUUGCUAGUAAUCGUGGAUCAGCAUGCCACGGUGAAUACGUUCCCGGGCCUUGUACACACCGCCCGUCGCACCAUGGGAGUCGGUAACACCCGAAGCCUGUAGUCUAACCGCAAGGAGGACGCAGUCGAAGGUGGGAUUGAUGACUGGGGUGAAGUCGUAACAAGGUACC
Molecule: ribosomal RNA, 196 nt
Filed under: uncultured bacterium
Lineage: Bacteria
Description: partial 16S ribosomal RNA
Rfam family: Bacterial small subunit ribosomal RNA
Source: RNAcentral